Molecule: non-coding RNA, 73 nt
Organism: Araneus ventricosus
Lineage: Eukaryota; Metazoa; Arthropoda; Arachnida; Araneae; Araneidae
Source: the annotation of a GenBank genome assembly
GUCCCUGUAGCGCAGUGUAUAUCGCUUUGGACCUCUAAUCCAAAGGUCACGGGUUCGAAUCCUGGCAGGGAUG